Molecule: ribosomal RNA, 447 nt
Filed under: uncultured bacterium
Lineage: Bacteria
Description: partial 16S ribosomal RNA
Rfam family: Bacterial small subunit ribosomal RNA
Source: RNAcentral
AUCCCAGACUCCUACGGGAGGCAGCAGUGGGGAAUAUUGCACAAUGGGGGAAACCCUGAUGCAGCGACGCCGCGUGAGCGAAGAAGUACCUCGGUAUGUAAAGCUCUAUCAGCAGGGAAGAAGAUGACGGUACCUGACCAAGAAGCUCCGGCUAAAUACGUGCCAGCAGCCGCGGUAAUACGUAUGGAGCAAGCGUUAUCCGGAUUUACUGGGUGUAAAGGGAGCGCAGGCGGCCUUGCAAGUCUGAUGUGAAAUCCAAGGGCUCAACCCUUGAACUGCAUUUGAAACUGUCGUUCUUGAGUACUGGAGAGGUUGACGGAAUUCCUAGUGUAGCGGUGAAAUGCGUAGAUAUUAGGAGGAACACCAGUGGCGAAGGCGGCUUACUGGACUGUAACUGACGUUGAGGCUCGAAAGCGUGGGGAGCAAACAGGAUUAGAUACCCCAGUA